GGUACCGUCAGGCCUAACGUGUAUUAUACGUUAGGAGGUUCUUCCCCUCUGACAGAGCUUUACGACCCAAGAGCCUUCAUCACUCACGCGGUAUUGCCGCGUCAGGCUUUCGCCCAUUGCGCAAAAUUCCCCA
Molecule: ribosomal RNA, 133 nt
Filed under: uncultured bacterium
Lineage: Bacteria
Description: partial 16S ribosomal RNA
Source: RNAcentral